This 195-nucleotide transfer-messenger RNA is filed under the name Novosphingobium sp. Its description in RNAcentral is "partial transfer-messenger RNA". It matches the Rfam family "Alphaproteobacteria transfer-messenger RNA", at positions 1 to 181 of the family's 355-position model. Rfam says of the family: Bacterial tmRNA, also known as 10Sa RNA or SsrA, is named for its dual tRNA and mRNA-like properties. Its role is to liberate the mRNA from a stalled ribosome. Lineage: Bacteria; Pseudomonadati; Pseudomonadota; Alphaproteobacteria; Sphingomonadales; Sphingomonadaceae. The record is from RNAcentral.
UCACUUCACAUUAAGGUGCAAGGGCUUAUAUAGGACCUGCCGGUUUCGGCCGGCUAUGGCGAUAAAUUGCGGUGUGCAAUAGGCACAGCGGACCCGGGGGCAGUACCCGGCGGCUCCACCAUAAAGCUCUGGUUUCUUUCGGGAAAUCCGGGAAUUCUGACGGGGCCGAACCAGGAUCGACGUGUGUUGAAAGAC